UCAAACUUGGUCAUUUAGAGGAAGUAAAAGUCGUAACAAGGUUUCCGUAGGUGAACCUGCGGAAGGAUCAUUACUGAGUUUGGGUGCUUUUAUUGCACCGACUUUUUUUUUUCACCCUUGCGACUCAACUAUUUUGCUUGGUGGGCCAGGUUUGCCCCGUUGAAUUUUUUCAGCGAGUGCCCGCCAAAGUUUUUUUUUUUCCAAAAAAAUCUGCUGAAAACGUGGUCAUCUGAAUUUUUGCAAAUAUUAUAAUAACUAAAAAACUUUCAACAACGGAUCUCUUGGUUCUGGCAUCGAUGAAGAACGCAGC
RNAcentral lists this unclassified non-coding RNA (310 nucleotides) under uncultured fungus. RNAcentral describes it as "partial contains small subunit ribosomal RNA, internal transcribed spacer 1, and 5.8S ribosomal RNA". The stretch from base 1 to 73 matches the Rfam family "Eukaryotic small subunit ribosomal RNA", at positions 1759 to 1831 of the family's 1831-position model. Lineage: Eukaryota; Fungi. The record is from RNAcentral.